This 334-nucleotide ribosomal RNA is filed under the name uncultured fungus. RNAcentral describes it as "SSU rRNA". It matches the Rfam family "Eukaryotic small subunit ribosomal RNA", at positions 28 to 371 of the family's 1831-position model. Lineage: Eukaryota; Fungi. The record is from RNAcentral.
AUGCUUGUCUCAAAGAUUAAGCCAUGCAUGUCUAAGUAUAAACAAAUCUAUACUGUGAAACUGCGAAUGGCUCAUUAUAUCAGUUAUAGUUUAUUUGAUGGUUUUUGCUACUUGGAUAACCGUAGUAAUUCUAGAGCUAAUACAUGCAUCAAACCCUAACUCACGAAGGGGUGUAUUUAUUAGAUGGAAACCAAUGCAGGGCAACCUGGAUUCUGGUGAUUCAUAAUAACUUUCGGAUCGAUCGUAAGAUCGAUGCAUCAUUCAAGUUUCUGCCCUAUCAGCUUUGGAUGGUAGGGUAUUGGCCUACCAUGGCUUCAACGGGUAACGGGGAAUA